GGCCCUGCUGCUCGCUGUCAUCUACCUCAACAUCCAGGUGGUGAAGGGCCAGCGGAAGGUCAUUUGUCUUCUCAAGGAGCAGAUCAGCAAUGAGGGAGAGGACAAAAUCUUUUUAAUCAACAAGCUUCACUCCAUCUACGAGAAGAAGGAGAGGAGCAGCGCUCCUGCCCAGAUCCGGGACGCACAGGAGACCCUGUAGGAAGACAUCUGUGGCCACUGCUGCCCCACCCCCGCCCCAUGUCGCUGUCAAGCGCAGAUGCCGUCCGAGACCGUGCUGGCCCCUCACAAGCUGCAGCCUGGACUCCCACACCGACCCCCGUCCCGCUGGAACUCUAUUUAUUCUCAUUAA
Long non-coding RNA from Trichechus manatus latirostris (Florida manatee), 349 nucleotides. RefSeq lists it as uncharacterized. The transcript has 4 exons. The record is from RefSeq and is a predicted model, not a curated record. NCBI's taxonomy places the organism in Eukaryota, Metazoa, Chordata, Mammalia, Sirenia, Trichechidae.